This 59-nucleotide ribosomal RNA is filed under the name uncultured bacterium. RNAcentral describes it as "partial 16S ribosomal RNA". The record is from RNAcentral.
CGACGUGCCAACCGCAACGGAGGCGAGUCGCCCAACGGAGUGAGUUGGUAACUGGGGUG